GUACUACAUUAUCGACAUCGUUGACAGUCAGGAAGUGUUUACGUAUCGAACGUGUUUAAUUUAUGAUACAGAGUUAUCUGAACGUUCGAGUUCGAGUUUGUAGUUUUGAUUUGUGCGGCUUAAUAAAAACGAAGUAUAAAGCAGAUAAUCUUCCGCUAGAGGAAUAAGAUCCGGCUGUUCUAAAUUACAGAUUGCCGGCUAUCAUACUAUCGGACAUGCAACCAGUGUGUCCGCUCUAUUCGCUAUGGACCAGUCAUUGUUGGCAUUGAGAAAAUCCCUGCUCUGCAACCGCCGUCCUGUAGCAGCAGAUGACCCUAUUGUGUCAAAUUUUGCAGCAAGGUUCUGUCGCAAUUACGAGUUCAGCAACCGGAACCAACAUGUUACCGUAAAAAUCUACAUAAGUGCAGAUGAACAAUGACAACAAGAUACAGCAAACGAGGAAGAGCCAGAAUGAGUUUCGGCAGGACCUACCUCUCGCCUGGACACAAUCAAACUUUGUGGAUUCGAUGAAGAUACGGCGUUGAUUGAGCACAAAAACUAACAGACCGGUAUUUUGCGCCGAUUGCUCAUGAAAAACAACGCUUUGCUCCGUAGAAAAACUGCAGGAGCAACGCAAGGUG
This is a long non-coding RNA of Toxorhynchites rutilus septentrionalis, 620 nucleotides long. RefSeq lists it as uncharacterized. Lineage: Eukaryota; Metazoa; Arthropoda; Insecta; Diptera; Culicidae. The record is from RefSeq and is a predicted model, not a curated record. The transcript has 3 exons.